CCUACGGGCGGCAGCAGUAGGGAAUCUUUCACAAUGGGCGAAAGCCUGAUGGAGCAACGCCGCGUGCAGGAUGAAGGCCUUCUGGUUGGAAACUUCUUUUAUAAUCGAGAAAUAUGAUAGUGACUUAUGAAUAAUGAUCGUCUCACUACGUUCCAGCAGCCGCGGUCCUACGUAUGAUCCGAGCAUUAUCCGGAGUGACUGGGUGUAAGAAGUUGCGUAAGUGGCAUAAUAAGUAGCUAGUGAAAUCUGGUGGCUCAACCAUUCAGUCUAUUAGCUAAACUGUUAAGCUAGAGACCGUUAGAGGUAACUGGAAUUUCUAGUGUAGGAGUGAAAUCCGUAGAUAUUAGAAAGAACACCGAUAGCGUAGGCAGGUUACUGGGACGGUUCUGACACUAAGGCACGAAAGUGUAGGGAGCAAACGGGAUUAGAUACCCUGGUAGUC
This 442-nucleotide ribosomal RNA is filed under the name uncultured bacterium. Its description in RNAcentral is "partial 16S ribosomal RNA". It matches the Rfam family "Bacterial small subunit ribosomal RNA", at positions 338 to 795 of the family's 1533-position model. The record is from RNAcentral.